UAAAUCCAGGGAAUGGCAUGAGCCUUUGAACCAUCGAUCACCCUUUCCAGCAGCUUCACCAUAAACACAUGCCAAUUGAUUUGAUUACUCUCAGUCAAGCACUGCAUGAGCACAAGGUCCAUAUAGUAAGCAGUAUGCCUUCUUUCCUGCCUGGGUAGGAGGCAUUUGUUGACAAACUCAAAGAGCACCUUGUGCUCAGGCCUCAUCUCAC
This 211-nucleotide long non-coding RNA is filed under the name Nicotiana benthamiana. RNAcentral's name for it is "long non-coding RNA (NBEN_LNC017626)". Lineage: Eukaryota; Viridiplantae; Streptophyta; Magnoliopsida; Solanales; Solanaceae. The record is from RNAcentral.